UUUACUGCGGCCACUGACAGAAAGCACUUGAGAACCCUGCUAAACCUCAGUUCUGAAGCUAUCCAGUCCAAGCAGCAACUUCUGACUCUUCUUGGCUUCACGGUCACAGCAAUUGCUGUGGGAGUGCUUCUUGGAGUUCUUCACCUCAUUUGCAAUCUGGACAACCAUGGCAGAAUUGCUCUGGCACAUUCCUAGGUGAGGUACUUUGUUUCUUGGAUUUCCAGGCUUUCUCUUUUACUGAAUUUAAGUCUGUUUUGG
RNAcentral lists this long non-coding RNA (258 nucleotides) under Chinchilla lanigera (long-tailed chinchilla). Its description in RNAcentral is "lncRNA (ENSCLAG00000024496.1)". Lineage: Eukaryota; Metazoa; Chordata; Mammalia; Rodentia; Chinchillidae. The record is from RNAcentral.